RNAcentral lists this ribosomal RNA (253 nucleotides) under uncultured bacterium. RNAcentral describes it as "partial 16S ribosomal RNA". It matches the Rfam family "Bacterial small subunit ribosomal RNA", at positions 524 to 776 of the family's 1533-position model. The record is from RNAcentral.
AACGUAGGAGACAAACGUUAUCCGGAGUUACUGGGCGUAAAGGGCGUGUAGGUGGUUUUGUAAGUCUGGCGUGAAAUUUUUCGGCUUAACCGGGAAAGGUCGUCGGAUACUGCAAGGCUAGAGGACGGUAGAGGCGUGUGGAAUUCCGGGUGUAGUGGUGAAAUGCGUAGAGAUCCGGAAGAACACCGGUGGCGAAGGCGGCCUGCUGGGCAGUGGCUGACGCUGAGGCGCGACAGCGUGGGGAGCAAACAGG